This 74-nucleotide transfer RNA is filed under the name Stegodyphus mimosarum. It matches the Rfam family "tRNA". Rfam says of the family: Transfer RNA (tRNA) molecules are approximately 80 nucleotides in length. Lineage: Eukaryota; Metazoa; Arthropoda; Arachnida; Araneae; Eresidae. The record is from Rfam by way of RNAcentral.
GCCUUCGUGGUGUAGUGGUCAGCACACUUCGACUCAUAACCGAGAGGUCCAUGGUUCGAUUCCCUUCGAAGGCG